RNAcentral lists this ribosomal RNA (440 nucleotides) under uncultured bacterium. RNAcentral's name for it is "bacterial SSU rRNA". It matches the Rfam family "Bacterial small subunit ribosomal RNA", at positions 340 to 773 of the family's 1533-position model. The record is from RNAcentral.
UACGGAAGGCAGCAGUGGGGAAUAUUGCACAAUGGGCGCAAGCCUGAUGCAGCCAUGCCGCGUGUAUGAAAAAGGCCUUCGGGUUGUAAAGUACUUUCAGUCGUGAGGAAGGUGUUAAGGUUAAUAACCUUAGCAAUUGACGUUAGCGACAGAAGAAGCACCGGCUAACUCCGUGCCAGCAGCCGCGGUAAUACGGAGGGUGCGAGCGUUAAUCGGAAUUACUGGGCGUAAAGGGCACGCAGGCGGUUAAUUAAGUUGGAUGUGAAAUCCCCGGGCUUAACCUGGGAAUGGCAUUCAAGACUGGUUAGCUAGAGUCUUGUAGAGGGGGUAGAAUUCCAUGUGUAGCGGUGAAAUGCGUAGAGAUGUGGAGGAAUACCGGUGGCGAAGGCGGCCCCUGGGACAAAGACUGACGCUCAUGUGCGAAAGCGUGGGGAGCAAAC